This 105-nucleotide ribosomal RNA is filed under the name Bacilli bacterium. The record is from RNAcentral. Lineage: Bacteria; Bacillati; Bacillota; Bacilli.
UUUGGUGAUUAUAUCGAGGAGGAAACACCUGUUCCCAUUCCGAACACAGAAGUUAAGCUCCUCAGAGCCGAUGAUAGUUGACGCGAAAGUAGGACGUUGCCAAAC